Molecule: ribosomal RNA, 438 nt
Filed under: uncultured soil bacterium
Lineage: Bacteria
Description: bacterial SSU rRNA
Rfam family: Bacterial small subunit ribosomal RNA
Source: RNAcentral
AGGACGAACGCUGGCGGCGUGCUUAACACAUGCAAGUCGAGCGGAAAGGCCUUUCGGGGUACUCGAGCGGCGAACGGGUGAGUAACACGUGAGUAAUCUGCCCAUCGCUUCAGGAUAGCCAUCGGAAACGGUGAUUAAUACUGGAUAUGACAUUCCUUCGCAUGUUGGGGUGUGGUAAAGUUUUUUCGGCGGUGGAUGUGCUCGCGGCCUAUCAGUCUUGUUGGUGGGGUAAUGGCCUACCAAGGUCUUUGACGGGUAGCCGGCCUGAGAGGGUCGACCGGCCACACGUGGGACUGACGACACGGCCCCAGACCUCCGUACGGGAGGCAGGCGAGGUGGGGAAUAGUUGGGACAAGUGGGCGGAAGUCCGUGAUCCAGCCAACGCCGCGUAGAGGAGUGGACCGGUCCGUUCGGGUUACGUAACCGUACGUUUCGAGC